AAAUUUCUUUAAUAUUGGUGAUGAUGAAACAUGUGUGAAGCUAUUUUUCUUUUUAUGACAGGGGUAAUAACAUAGCCCUCGUUACCUGUUUAGAUUUAAAAUUUCUUUUAAAAUGAUCUUUGACUUAGAGGUAGAGUCAUUCGACGCAGAGCUGCUACGGGAUGCAACUCCUGAAGAUGCAGCCCUUGUAGAUGCAGCCCCUGAAGAUGCUAGAGGCAGGUCAUCAUCUUCAUCAUCUAGGAAGAGAGGUUCUACGCGAGGUUCAGAAUUACAUGAGAAGACUUCAUUGAAAAGGGUCAUUAGGAUUAAUGAAUUUGGGCAACCAAAUGCAGGGGAUGCAAAUCAGAUCGCAUUUAAUUCAAGCAUUGGUGUUCUCACCCGUGCACACAUUCCGAUCACCUACACAAACUUUCGGUUGGUGCCUCCACAGUACAUUCAGAGGAUCAAUGAUAUCCUAGCAUGUAGUUAUGAAUUUCAGGAUAACCAAGAAGCAUGGCCACAAUACGUUCAUGAUCGCUGUAAGGCCGCUUGGAGAAAUUUUAAGAACACUUUGCAUACGAAGUAUGUUAAGGACAAGGAUCCUGCAGUUGUGAAAUCGUAUCCCACCCUUAUUGGUGUCCCUAUUGAGGAUUAGAUGAUCUUCGUGGAUUAUUGCAAUACUGAUAAAUUCAAGGAAUCAAGUGGAAGAAAUGCAUCCAAUCGAACUAAACAAGUUGGCCCUUCUACACUUGGUCAGCGAAUCAUGGAUGCCACACGUCAUGAGAUGGCAAUUGAGAGGAAUCUUACUACUGAUGCUGAGGUUGGUAGGGCUGAGGUGUACAUUCGAGCCCAUACAACAAAGGAUAACAAAGUGUAGUUCCAAGAAACCUUUGUAAGUGCAACCCUCGUACACCCUUUCAUUAUCCAUGUGAAUUUUAAAUGCUUCUUUCCCACAUUAUAAUUUUUCUUUUGGAUGUUGUCAUAGGAAAAAAUAAAAUCGAUUCAAAGUCGUAAUCCUGCAUCUCAGAUGACCGGUGUAGAUGACGCCCUUACACAGGUAUAUAUGCAUGUCCUUCAAAUACUUGAGUUUAUUUAGACUUAUGCAUUCUCUGAUAAAUCUAAUUGCAAUUCUGUUUACAAUCAAUUGGGAGUGAUAGUAGAGGGCGCAUACGGGGGAUAGGUGGAAAUGUAGGCAAGAUUGCAGUGAAGAAGACAAUGCCUAUUGUACAUAAGCUCAGUACGAUGUCGCAGGAACGAGAUAAUUUGGUAGAUGAAUUAGAUGAAAUGAAGGAAAGCCUGGGAGAUCUCCACUAGAAGUUUAAUUGCUUUAUAGAUAAGCAAGGGGAAGAAAGGGAUGUGGCUCCACUGAUAAUUCCUCCAUUUAAAUCUAGUCAUGCAUCGUCGCUUGAUUUGGUAAAUCUUGGCAAGAGAUGCGAUCCCUGUGAUUGGAAGAAACGGGUAAUUGCUAGUGGUGAGGUGCAUACAGUGGAUCCAAAUACUCGUGUCCAUGGAGCAGAAAUGGGCAAUGAAAAUUUUAGUGUCAUCCUAAUGGAGAUUAUAGCUCCAUAGUCAUAGCUAUGGA
This is a long non-coding RNA of Magnolia sinica, 1561 nucleotides long. RefSeq lists it as uncharacterized. The transcript is spliced from 4 exons. The record is from RefSeq and is a predicted model, not a curated record. Lineage: Eukaryota; Viridiplantae; Streptophyta; Magnoliopsida; Magnoliales; Magnoliaceae.